Salvia miltiorrhiza (redroot sage) is the source of this 924-nucleotide long non-coding RNA. RefSeq lists it as uncharacterized. NCBI's taxonomy places the organism in Eukaryota, Viridiplantae, Streptophyta, Magnoliopsida, Lamiales, Lamiaceae. The transcript is spliced from 2 exons. The record is from RefSeq and is a predicted model, not a curated record.
UUCUUUUAAAAGAAAAAGGAUUAAAUUAUUUUAUGAGUAAUUCCAUUAUAAUGGAAUUAAAAUGUCCUAUUAGAAUGGCUUCAUGUUUUAAAAAAAAAUAUAUUGAGACUAUUUAUGUGGAAUUGUGUUAUAGAAUGAUUAAGUAUAUGAUUUACUUUAUCAAAUGAGCUUGGGAUUUAAUUGAGAUAUUAAAUUGCUAAGCAUAUGUUUAUAAAUGAUUUAUUUAUUUAAGUGAUGAAAAUGUGCGAAGUAUGAGAAAGCAUGAUUUAUAAUGAUUAAAUUUUCAGGGUGAUAAUAUAUAGCUUGUUCUUAAUUAAUGGAGUACUUGACUAAAUGACGGGUGUAGAGGGAGGUUAUGGAUUAUGUACAUGUUGAUGUUCGAACAAAUGGGUUCGAACCUAUAUGAUAGUUACAUGAUAAUUGGUUACAUUUUAUUGAUUGAAUGAAACGAGAUUAAUAUGGAUGCUAGAACCCUAAAACAUUAAAAGAUACCUUAGGCACGUAGAAUUAGACUUUGUCUUAUGACAAUUUCUUCACGAACUUAUCGACUCUUCAUCAAUGAAGGUCCGGGCGACAGAAAGUGAAGCAGAAGAAGAAACGACUCCACGCCAGCUUUAAGAACAAUUGAGGUUGAGCAGGCGAUGGAAUGGAUCGGUGUUGAGCGGAUUUCUCUUUUGAUGUUUAUGUAAUGAAACCUUGAGUAUGCAUCUCCAUAUGCAUAACUCACACGUUUUUCCGCUGCAAACACUCUGAAUUUGUUAUCGUAUUGUGGAACUUAUUACCCCUUCAUUUUGUUUAACUUUCAUUUGGGGUUUAGUCGUUAUGGCUGGCUCAUUUGUUAAUUACCCAAGUGGUUAUAUAUAUAUAUAUACCACUAGUUUGUUGUUAUUAAUGUUGGUUAUUUAGUAAAUCCCUUUUAAAUUU